UACGGGGGGAGCAAGCGUUGUUCGGAUUUACUGGGCGUAAAGGGCGCGUAGGCGGUCAGCACAAGUCAGUUGUGAAAUCUCCGGGCUUAACUCGGAAAGGUCAACUGAUACUGUGCGACUAGAGUGCAGAAGGGGCAACUGGAAUUCUCGGUGUAGCGGUGAAAUGCGUAGAUAUCAGGAGGAACACCGGUGGCGAAGGCGGGUCUCUGGGCCGUAACUGACGCUGAGGAGCGAAAGCGUGGGGAGCGAACAGG
Molecule: ribosomal RNA, 254 nt
Filed under: uncultured bacterium
Lineage: Bacteria
Description: partial 16S ribosomal RNA
Rfam family: Bacterial small subunit ribosomal RNA
Source: RNAcentral